UUUUUAAGAGAUAUUAAAAAAAAACUCGUUUGAUCAAAUAGUUACAAAAUAUUUUAAUGAGGUAGAUAUAUUAUAUUUUAUCAUUAUUAAAGUUAUUUGUUUUCUUAAUAUUAGAUUUGCUUUUAAAUUUGGGGAAAUUUUAUCUUUACACUUUGUUGGAUACCACUUUUCAACUUUAUCAUCAGUCUAAGGACAUUUUCAGAAAUACCACUUUCAUUAAUGAGAAAAAGACAAUAAUACCCUUACCUUAUCUUCUUCUCCACCAUCGGUUUCUCUCCCUCUCCCCAAGUCACCGUCGUCUCUCUCUCACCGUCGAGUCACCGUCGUCUCUCUCUCACCGUCGAGUUCCGGCGUCUCUCUCUCACCGUCGAGUUCUGGCGUCUCUCUCUCACCGUCGAUCUCUCUCUCACCGUCGAUCUCUCUCUCACCGUCGACUUCCGGCGACGAAAUCGAUUCAAAAUCUCCAAGAUGUCGACUCCUAUACAUGAUUCACAACUUGUAUGUCUCUAAUUUCUGUAAUUGUUUGUUCUAUAAUUUCUGUAUUUUUUGUUUGAUUCGAUUUUGUGCUUUCUCUUAUCGAAAAAUCAAACAAGGUUCUCUUAGAUAUCUCAUUUAAAGAGGUCGAUCUAAGAGAAACAGAUUUGAUAAUGAAACGUGAGAGUGAAAACAUUGAGUAUUUGAAAACUUAAAUCUGGUUUUGAAGUCAUAUUAAGAUUGAUCUGAAUGGUUCCGGCUAAGAAAGAGGUUUUCCGAUAGUCAAAACUGCAUAUUAAGGAAGAGAUAAUUUUCGAUAGUGAAAACUGAAUAUUAAGGGAUUAUAACCCCUUAUAAAUCUUGGUUUCAUGAGAUCGUUCAUAAAUAUAACUCAAUGAUUUAUAAGGAAUUAUAACCCCUUAUAAAUCUGGGUUUCAUGAUCUUAUUGAUAAAUACAAUUCAACUAUUUAUAAGGUCCUAUAAAGAAGUUUCUAAACAACAGUUUCAUCGUAUAUGUGUAUAAAACUUGUGAUAUUGUGGAAAUACAUGAACAUUGUGCUUGCCUUGGAUAAAGUAUCUAUAGUUCAUGAUUAGAAGUUCAUAUCAUCGUUUUAUAAAGUAAUAUACAUGAUAAUUUUUCUUUUGUUUUUUGUUUUCCAGUUGGAUAGCAAUGAGUUUUGCACAAAUUUGAGUUUGCCUCCUAGGAUUUAUGGAGCUGGAACAGAAUCACCAGACAAUCACAAAGUAAUCAUCCAACAUUCAAACAUGGAUUAUGUCUCUAAGGUUGCUGAUAUAUUGGAAAAAGAAGAGUUUGCCCAGAUAGAGAACUCACACAUUGGAAGCAUUGUGAAGCUGGCAAGAAGGACUAGCGUUCAGUUUUCAGAGGAUCUGUUCGAUUUUCUCAUGAAGCGAAGAAUAAUGACGAAAGGAACAGGUCUUUGGUUUACAUUCUCUGAUUAACGAAUGAGGUUUUCAAUGAGAGAAUUUCAUUUGACAACAGGGUUAGCUUGUGAGCAAGAUAAAACAGAAACAGAGCCACUGUUCAGACAAGUGAAGAAACCUUAUCUUUGGAUGCUAAGCAAGGGGGAACAGUAAGAAGCUUGUAUGAUCUGCUCAAAAAGAAAGCAAGAACAAUGACAAGACUAGAGAGACUAUCUAUAGGAAUAGCAAUAAUCAAAGAAGGGGUAAUUAUUGCAGAAAAUUCAAGCUCUCUAAUCCCAAAGGGAAGGUUGCUGGCUUAUAAGAACUAUGAUAGCUUGUCGAAGUUGGCUUGGGGUAAAGUUGCCUAUAAAGUUUUGUCCAAAAGUGUUAAACGUUUGAGUGCAAGUUCGUGGACAUGGGAGAGUUAUGAAGUGAGAGGUUUUGUGCUGGCCAUAAAUUUGUGGGCUAUGUCAUCAGUGCCUAUGCUUGGUAAAACUUUGGGAAAACCAUGCCAGGAAACCUCUUCUGCAGAUCCGUUAUGUCUACAUUGGGACUCAACAAGGGCUCCGACAAUUACUGAAGUUUUGGAGGUGGAGAACAAAAAUAAUGUGAGUUUUUACUAAAGUUUAAAAAUUUAUUCGUACUGUAUUGUUUAGAAAGAGGUUUAUAAACAUACUCCUUGAAAAAGGGUCACAAGCAGGCGCCUUGGUAAAAAAUGUGAACUGUUUAGACAUUUUAGAAUAUUUUUCAUUUUGUACUUUUUCUGUAACAUGUUGCUUGCAUCAUUCACACACUAGCCCUUAACAUUCACAUUAGAUUAUUGAGAAUGGUCGCUCUGUUUCUUCUUGGCUUGUGUUUUGUGUGUGAACUCGCAUGUUUCACUUCUCUUAACACCUUGCUUGUGUCAUGCCCUCAUUAGCUCCUACCAUUCACAUGAAAUUACUAAGUUAACUAUAUUGUUUCAUAAUGGUUUGUAAAUAGGAUAUUUACAGAGACCUAUAAAACAUUGUUUUAUCCUUACAGGGUGUGGUUACUACAGUGUUUGGAUUCUCUGAGAAAUUCAAACAUUUGGUGAACCCAACACAUCCUGAUGAUAAGGACUUUGACAGUGUCGUACAACUAGUUCAACAAGGAUACAAAGUGACGAAAAGUGAUUGGGAACAAGGAUUUUGGAUGUUUUUCUUACAACAGAAGACAUUGGUCGACAAAGCAGGACAGAAGACAAAGAUGUACAGCAAAAAUUCUAAGGAGCAAGCACAAGAUGAAGAAGAACAACAAGUGGAAGCUGAUGCUGAAUUCGGCGACGGUGAUAAAGAAAGAGAAACAUCAAAAUCAAUGAAGGGCAGACACUUGAGGAAGAAGAAGAACAAAUGGAAGCUGAUACAGAAGAUGAGGAGCCCGUGCAAGUUGAAAGGCAGAAACGAGGAAGAGUAAAUAAGGUAAAUAACUCUCUUUGUAAUGGUUUAUAAAUGUUAUUUUCUGAUUGUGUUAUCAAAAUUGAAUGAUGAAUAUGUUUAUAUAGCCAUCAUAAUACUGUUUAGGAACAAGAGCAUAAGAAGAAUGAAGAGAAAAGAAAAGAUGAAGCGUAUGAGAAAGCUAAGGAGAAAUUUCAAGAUAAGAUGGUUCCAAACUCGAUAAGUUAAUCCAAAUGCUUUAUGAUUUGAAUAAACCAAUAGAAGUAAUCGAGAAUGUCUUAGGAGUGGUAAGCAAAUAACUUUACCAAGCGCUUAUAAAUAUUCCGGCAGAGGAGUGGUGGGAAAAACGAGGGAGAGAUUCUAGCCUCGACGGUGAACGUGGCCUAGGCCUUAUGGUUACGGAUUUUCUCGAGACGGGAGGUGGUGGAAGCGGUGGUGGUGGUGUGAUUUGUGGUGUAGCAGCGAUAGCGAUUCUGAAUUUCCGAAUCCUUCUUACCUUUCUGAUAAGAUUCAGGUACCUUAGGGCGAUUUGGUUGAUUUUAUUGGUGUUAGUAUACGAAUUGGGAUCGUUUAGUUGAUGAGGUUCCUUAUGAUCAUGUUGAAGGGUAGAGGAUCGCGAUGCGAUGGAAAUGGUAGACUGGAUAAUAUUUUGUAGUGCUUGGACAUAUGGUUUAGUAUGAUGCCUUUAGCUUGCUAUAGAUUGUUGGUUCUUGAUUAUUGAAGAAAACAUCCAAGUAUAUGCCUUAUGCUGCUGCUUAUAAUGUUCUCCUUUCCAUUUCGGAAUAAAAGUACAGCAAAAAAACAUCAUUGAUUUUGUUUGAAUGAUAUCUGUACAUGCAACUCUGCUGCUGUCAGUGUGCUCUCUUCUGCUGCUUAUAAUGUUCUUGCAACUCAACACCCCUUUGUGGCUGAGGAUUUCCUCACAAUUUUAAGGCUCAUCAAAAUGGUGUAUGAUCACCUUUGUAGCCAAGUUUCUUGCUGCUCUUUAUGCCUUUAUUGCUGCAGCAUGUUCGGGUAGCAGUUCACCGAGUGUCUCCUCUGAUACCCGUGGCUUCAUCUCACCAAUUAGCACUUAUGAUGUUUCAAUUUUAAGUUGCUUAAGUGUUUUAUUUUCCGUUAUCUGUGUUUAUGUUAUCUGCUUAGCCUUUGAUGCAGCAGUUUCCUUGUCAUUUUGGCUGUGUUAUUAUGUUUGCUAAACAAUGUCUCCAUUGAUGGAGCUUGAGUUUUAUUUAUAAAAUUUGGUUUGAUCAAAAAGAAAACAAGUAUAUCUGGAAAGCUUUCUAAAUUUCUUAUUAAAGUAUAAUUCAUUUAUAAGAGUUU
This is a long non-coding RNA of Brassica napus (rape), 4130 nucleotides long. RefSeq lists it as uncharacterized. The record is from RefSeq and is a predicted model, not a curated record. NCBI's taxonomy places the organism in Eukaryota, Viridiplantae, Streptophyta, Magnoliopsida, Brassicales, Brassicaceae. The transcript has 3 exons.